GUUUAACUUUCUUUUAUGCGGCUUAUUGUAUAACUACGAUGCUAUAGGAUGGAGGGAUUGGCUCACAUUUUAUAAUUUACCCGCAGCAAACUUUUUGAUGCCAAAUGUGUCAAGUGUUUGUGAAAAAAUAUGUACGUUAAAAUUACAUGAUGACCAUAUUUUUUAAUUGAUAUUUAACUCAUUGUGAUUGACAAAUUUUAACAUCAAAUAAAACGUGAUGGCGCAUACAAAAAUUUAACAACUUUCAUAACUUUUCGAUGUGCCUUUUACACUCUCCAUCAGUUCCGUGAAGUGUGUGGUUUUUUAUUUUUUAAUUUAUAUUUUUUCGGCAACUUGAUGUGAAGCUGCAGAUCUUUUUGCAUCUUCAGCAUUGUUCCCAAUUUUAAUCUAAACAUUAAAGUCUGUCCACGUACACACGAUGUAUUACAACAUUUAUGAUUUUUAUGGUCAUUCAUAAAAAUGUUUAUCCAAGCAGUUUUAUCUAAGCCCAUUUUUCAUAUAAUAACCGAGGAAGCUAUAGACGACGACAAAGCAUGAGCCACACCUGCAUAAAAGCUUGACAGUCAAAUCUAUGUAAAUAUCUUCCGUAAAAGUUGAAUACAAAAAGAUAUGUAUAUAAACAUGAGAUGCAUCUAAUCUCCAUAAGUUGUGAGCUUAUUCAAAAGCAUCAAAUUAUGUAACAUGGUUUUGUGCAUACAAAAUAAAAGUUUAAAAAAGGUUUUUCUUUUAUUUUCCGCCUUCA
Molecule: long non-coding RNA, 742 nt
Organism: Eupeodes corollae
Lineage: Eukaryota; Metazoa; Arthropoda; Insecta; Diptera; Syrphidae
Exons: 2
Source: RefSeq, a predicted model, not a curated record